UAUCCUGGCUCAGGAUGAACGCUGGCGGCGUGCUUAACACAUGCAAGUCGAACGGAGUCAUCAUUUUUGAAGCAAUUAGCUUGCUAAGAGUGGAAAUGUUGAUGACUUAGUGGCGGACGGGUGAGUAACGCGUGGGUAACCUGCCAUAUACAGGGGGAUAACACUUAGAAAUAGGUGCUAAUACCGCAUAAGCGCACAGUUUUGCAUGAGACAGUGUGAAAAACUACGGUGGUAUAUGAUGGACCCGCGUCUGAUUAGCUGGUUGGUGGGGUAACGGCCCACCAAGGCGACGAUCAGUAGCCGGCCUGAGAGGGUGGACGGCCACAUUGGGACUGAGACACGGCCCAAACUCCUACGGGAGGCAGCAGUGGGGAAUAUUGGACAAUGGGGGAAACCCUGAUCCAGCGACGCCGCGUGAGUGAAGAAGUAUUUCGGUAUGUAAAGCUCUAUCAGCAGGGAAGAAAAAAAUGACGGUACCUGACUAAGAAGCCCCGGCUAACUACGUG
RNAcentral lists this ribosomal RNA (506 nucleotides) under uncultured Lachnospiraceae bacterium. Its description in RNAcentral is "bacterial SSU rRNA". It matches the Rfam family "Bacterial small subunit ribosomal RNA", at positions 15 to 507 of the family's 1533-position model. The record is from RNAcentral. Lineage: Bacteria; Bacillati; Bacillota; Clostridia; Lachnospirales; Lachnospiraceae.